RNAcentral lists this ribosomal RNA (579 nucleotides) under uncultured bacterium. RNAcentral describes it as "partial 16S ribosomal RNA". It matches the Rfam family "Bacterial small subunit ribosomal RNA", at positions 355 to 927 of the family's 1533-position model. The record is from RNAcentral.
UGGGGAAUUUUGGACAAUGGGGGCAACCCUGAUCCAGCAAUGCCGCGUGUGUGAAGAAGGCCUUCGGGUUGUAAAGCACUUUUGUCCGGAAAGAAAACGCCGUGGUUAAUACCCGUGGCGGAUGACGGUACCGGAAGAAUAAGCACCGGCUAACUACGUGCCAGCAGCCGCGGUAAUACGUAGGGUGCAAGCGUUAGUCGGAAUUACUGGGCGUAAAGCGUGCGCAGGCGGUCCGCUAAGACAGAUGUGAAAUCCCCGGGCUUAACCUGGGAACUGCAUUUGUGACUGGCGGGCUAGAGUAUGGCAGAGGGGGGUAGAAUUCCACGUGUAGCAGUGAAAUGCGUAGAGAUGGUGGAGGAAUACCGAUGGCGAAGGCAGCCCCCUGGGCCAAUACUGACGCUCAUGCACGAAAGCGUGGGGAGCAAACAGGAUUCAGAUACCCUGGUAGUCCACGCCCUAAACGAUGUCAACUAGUUGUCGGUCUUCAUUGACUUGGUAACGUAGCUAACGCGUGAAGUUGACCGCCUGGGGAGUACGGUCGCAAGAUUAAAACUUAAAGAAUUGACGGGGUCAUNGCUG